CGCGAAACCUUUACACUUCACGAGAGUGCGAUAAGGGGACUCCCAGUGCGAGGGCAUACAGUCCUCGCUUUUCUGGACCGUAGGGAGGUCCAGGAACAAGUGCUGGGCAAGACCGGUGCCAGCCGCCGCGGUAAUACCGGCAGCACGAGUGAUGGCCGAUAUUAUUGGGCCUAAAGCGUCCGUAGCCGGCCAGACAAGUCCGUUGGGAAAUCCACGUGCUCAACACGUGGGCGUCCAGCGGAAACUGUCUGGCUUGGGGCCGGAAGACCCAAGGGGUACGUCCGGGGUAGGAGUGAAAUCCCGUAAUCCUGGACGGACCGCCGAUGGCGAAAGCACCUUGGGAGGACGGACCCGACGGUGAGGGACGAAAGCCAGGGUCUCGAACCGGAUUAGAUACCCGGGUAGUCCUGGCCGUAAACGAUGUCCGCUAGGUGUGGCGCAGGCUACGAGCCUGCGCUGUGCCGUAGGGAAGCCGUGAAGCGGACCGCCUGGGAAGUACGUCUGCAAAGAUGAAACUUAAAGGAAUUGGCGGGGGAGCACUACAACCGGAGGAGCCUGCGGUUUAAUUGGAAUCA
Molecule: ribosomal RNA, 575 nt
Filed under: uncultured haloarchaeon
Lineage: Archaea; Methanobacteriati; Methanobacteriota; Halobacteria; Halobacteriales; Halobacteriaceae
Description: bacterial SSU rRNA
Rfam family: Archaeal small subunit ribosomal RNA
Source: RNAcentral